RNAcentral lists this long non-coding RNA (272 nucleotides) under Lathyrus oleraceus (garden pea). Its description in RNAcentral is "Pisum sativum (pea) long non-coding RNA (PSAT_LNC038154)". The record is from RNAcentral. Lineage: Eukaryota; Viridiplantae; Streptophyta; Magnoliopsida; Fabales; Fabaceae.
UUAUCUCUCACCUGUACAUCAUCUACUUGGACUACAUGCGACGGAUCAUGAAUGUAUCUCCUCAACUGAGACACAUGAAAAACCUCAUGAAAAUUCGCAAGCGACGGCGGUAAAGCGAUACGAUAGGCUACCUCCCUAUCCUCUCCCAAAAUCUGAUAAGGACCAAUAAAUCGAGGUGUCAACUUUCUUCGACUUCAAAGCUCGACCAACACCAGUUAUCGGAGUAACACGAAGAAACACAUGAUCUCCCUCUUGGAACUCAAGUGACUUCC